RNAcentral lists this ribosomal RNA (427 nucleotides) under uncultured bacterium. RNAcentral's name for it is "bacterial SSU rRNA". It matches the Rfam family "Bacterial small subunit ribosomal RNA", at positions 355 to 774 of the family's 1533-position model. The record is from RNAcentral.
UGGGGAAUUUUGGACAAUGGACGCAAGUCUGAUCCAGCCAUGCCGCGUGCGGGAAGAAGGCCUUCGGGUUGUAAACCGCUUUUGUCAGGGAAGAAACGAGUUUCUCUAAUACAGAGACUUAAUGACGGUACCUGAAGAAUAAGCACCGGCUAACUACGUGCCAGCAGCCGCGGUAAUACGUAGGGUGCGAGCGUUAAUCGGAAUUACUGGGCGUAAAGCGUGCGCAGGCGGUUAUGUAAGACAGAUGUGAAAUCCCCGGGCUCAACCUGGGAACUGCAUUUGUGACUGUAUAGCUAGAGUACGGUAGAGGGGGAUGGAAUUCCGCGUGUAGCAGUGAAAUGCGUAGAUAUGCGGAGGAACACCGAUGGCGAAGGCAAUCCCCUGGACCUGUACUAACGCUCAUGCACGAAAGCGUGGGGAGCAAUCA